GGAAGAGAUUAAUAACUCCUACGAUCAGUACUGCUAAUAGGUUUCUGAACAAAUUCUAACACUGAGAUUUCUUAAUAUUCCCCUCUCCUUUUGUCACUCCCCACUUAGCAAGCGUCUUUUUGGUCUUUUUCAUUAAAUUUUUUGUUUGUUUAUUUUUUGCCUUUGCUUACUGUGUGGCAGUGGAAAAGCAGAUUUCAAAGUGUGGGUUCUUGUUUCAGGACAUGCAUUUCGAUGGACUUAUUGGUAUUUCCAACCCAAGAAGGCUGCCUUAUAGGGCCAAUACCUAGGAAAGUAAAUAGCGCAAUCUCUGUGCUACUCAGGUAGGAAUAUUUUGACACAUGGUUUGUUAGAGAGCUGAAAUAGGCCUGAUAAGAUGUUAAAAAGCAUGAAGAGCAUUAUAAUGAAGUACUUACCAUUUGUCUUUUCAGUGGUCAGGAGAUUCUUCUGCAUUUAUCUGGAAGUUUCUAAUGCAAGCUGCCUUUGUGAAAAAGAACUCCCACAUCGUGGAUGUGUCCAAUUCAGAAGAACAAUAAACAUUGACUGUGGUACAAUAUCACUGCACAGACAGAUGCUCCAACUAUUGAGGGUAUUUUUUUGUCCACAGUUUCAUCAAACAUCAAGAGUCUCUUUCUAGGUCAGCUCCAAUGGAAAAGUACUUAUUUUAGAACCCUCAUUUUUUGUUUCCCUAGCAAUGCUGUGACAUCAUAUCAAGGUUCUUACACUCAAAAUUACAGCCUAAAUGUCCUUCUUGGUUCUUCUCAUACAACUCAUAUUUGGAGGUGUUUCAAUCUCCUCAUUAGAUGUAGCAAACCUAAAAUAUGCUGAAAAAAAAAAAAAAGAGAGAGAGAGGGAAAAAAAGAGAGAGGCUUUUCAAACAGGAAUUACACACUGAGUUGCAAGGAAUGAUCACUAUAGUAACGAGAAGGACACUGGAACGUUGAAAAUGUGGGAAGAUGCUAAAUUUAGAUCAAAAAAUGCACCAUAAGACCUGCACUGUGACUGUUUGCUGUGAAUCGUGUUGUAGGAUUUUCGUGCUUUUUGUGGCAUUAACUUCCCUACCCACAAACAAACAGCCUUCAAACUACCCAGAGGAGAUCAAACAGUUGAUGGCAUUUAUAUUUUUCUAGGAGUCAGAAAGAAGAAUUCAAUCCCACAAAAUUAAGUGCCUCUAGGAGAAAAAAGUGACCACGUGGAUGUUGGACAUCAAAGACAGAAAUAUCUUCCAUCUCUGUUUAGUGUUCCCAAACUCCAGACAGCCUUUUUUAUUUUUUACUUUUUCUCCACUUCCUUUCCCUCCUGGCUCUCUGAAUUAUACUUAGGAAACUGGAGGAUAGAUUUCACCUUCACUUGGGCUCGUUUUUGGUAAUACACAAAGUCUAAUGGAGGAUUGUUCUGCUUUUUCACAAAUGAUUGAUUCUGCUUCUUUGGUGGUCCCAACACAAAUCUGUAGGGUGUUGGCCAUUAUCUCACCAACAGCAAACUCCUGAAGGCUGACUGUGUUCCAAGUAGUGCAAAAACGUGUUGUUAGUUACACAUCUUGCUUUGUCCAUCACCUAUGUUGUCUAAAAAUAUUGGGUGCUCAUGACCCAGAUUUUUACUAAAACUUUCAGGAAAAGUUGGCCUUCCUUGGACUGUGGCUCUGAAAGAGCCAGGUGAAGGGCUGUAUUUUGAAAGACUGUACUUGUUUCCAACCCAACCCCAUGAUAGAGCAGACACCUCUCAUUGGUUUGGACCCAGGAGGGAUGAGAAGUGUAGUGUUCCCGUGCUUCUGCAUGACCAGCCUGAUACAGUUCAUAACAAUAAAAAUAUAUCUCCCCCUCUUCUGCUCUAAAGUCCAAGGAGAAUGAAGUACAGUUCAUUACCAAAAAGAAACAAUCCAUCUAGUAAAUAGUCCAGACCCACAAGGAGUCCAGAGGAUAUCCAGAGGUGAAAUAUUUAUUUUCCAAUGAAUUGCCUGACAGUCCUUACCAAGUCAGUCUUGAGUGGGAGCCUGGGAAUCCCUUCCCUCUGUAGUCUCCUUUCUCUCCCUACUUCCCCAUCGAUGCCUAGCCCCUUCCUGGGGGUGCUGGCUCCAUCUUGGGUGUGGAAGAGGCAGUAAGAUUCCUUGAGAUCAUGAUGACCAUUUUUCCUAGACAACUCGACCUCCUUUUUACUUGCAUUCUCCCUUAUAAGAAGAGGCUGGGCCAGACAUCGAAAGGUGAUCAAUAAAUGGUGAUCCUCCUUCAAAAAAAAUAAAAUAAAAUUUGUUAAUUCAACAGUUUAAUUGAAAAAAUGAACCUGGUAAAAUAUAUAUUAAAAAAAAAAGGAAGAGGAGGCUGAGGCAUUUCAGAAUCUUCUGAUUGGAUCAAUUAAAAUAAAGAUAAGACUUUUUUCUCAUAACAUUGGCCAUUGCUCAUAGCAUCACAUAUUUAGUGUGGUUAAAAUUUCUUUCAUUUGAGUCUGUAUUACAAAACCCCCCUCAUCAGAGGUAAAGAAGGAAUAAAAGAUAGAAUAUG
Equus asinus (donkey) is the source of this 2495-nucleotide long non-coding RNA. The record is from Ensembl. Lineage: Eukaryota; Metazoa; Chordata; Mammalia; Perissodactyla; Equidae.